CCAUCGAGUCCACGGGGACCCCAUGGAAGGCUCAGAGAGCUGUGGGCUGAGGAGCUGGAUUUUCAUACUUCUGAAGGUCUCCUGGGAUGUCAUUCUCCCUCUCUGUGCUCUCACAAGCGAAGGCUGAGGAUCCAGCAUUUCAAUAAACUCCUAUUUCCUUCCUCCCUUCAAA
This is a long non-coding RNA of Pipra filicauda (Wire-tailed manakin), 172 nucleotides long. RefSeq lists it as uncharacterized. The record is from RefSeq and is a predicted model, not a curated record. The transcript has 2 exons. NCBI's taxonomy places the organism in Eukaryota, Metazoa, Chordata, Aves, Passeriformes, Pipridae.